UCCAGACUCCUACGGGAGGCAGCAGUGGGGAAUAUUGCACAAUGGGGGGAACCCUGAUGCAGCGACGCCGCGUGAGUGAAGAAGUAUUUCGGUAUGUAAAGCUCCAUCAGCAGGGAAGAAAAUGACGGUACCUGACUAAGAAGCCCCGGCUAACUACGUGCCAGCAGCCGCGGUAAUUCGUAGGGGGCAAGCGUUAUCCGGAUUUACUGGGUGUAAAGGGAGCGUAGACGGCAGCGCAAGUCUGAAGUGAAAUCCCAUGGCUUAACCAUGGAACUGCUUUGGAAACUGUGCAGCUGGAGUGCAGGAGAGGUAAGCGGAAUUCCUAGUGUAGCGGUGAAAUGCGUAGAUAUUAGGAGGAACACCAGUGGCGAAGGCGGUCUGCUGGACAGCAACUGACGCUGAGGCGCGAAAGCGUGGGGAGCAAACAGGAUUAGAUACCCUGGUACUG
RNAcentral lists this ribosomal RNA (448 nucleotides) under uncultured bacterium. RNAcentral's name for it is "bacterial SSU rRNA". It matches the Rfam family "Bacterial small subunit ribosomal RNA", at positions 330 to 793 of the family's 1533-position model. The record is from RNAcentral.